GAUGAACGCUGGCGGCGUGCCUAAUACACGCAAGUCGAGCGAACAGAUGAGAAGCUUGCUUCUCUGAUGUUAGCGGCGGACGGGUGAGUAACACGUGGGUAACCUACCUAUAAGACUGGGAUAACUCCGGGAAACCGGGGCUAAUACCGGAUAAUAUUUUGAACCGCAUGGUUCGAUAGUGAAAGACGGUUUCGGCUGUCACUUAUAGAUGGACCCGCGCCGUAUUAGCUAGUUGGUAAGGUAACGGCUUACCAAGGCGACGAUACGUAGCCGACCUGAGAGGGUGAUCGGCCACACUGGAACUGAGACACGGUGCAGGCUCCUACGGGAGGCAGCAGUAGGGAAUCUUCCGCACUGGGCGAAAGCCUGACGUAGCAACGCCGCGUGAGUGAUGCAGGUCUUCGGAUCGUAAAACUCUGUUGUUAGGGAAGAACAAAUUUGUUAGUAACUGAACAAGUCUUGACGGUACCUAACCAGAAAGCCACGGCUAACUACGUGCCAGCAGCCGCGGUAA
Molecule: ribosomal RNA, 514 nt
Filed under: uncultured bacterium
Lineage: Bacteria
Description: partial 16S ribosomal RNA
Rfam family: Bacterial small subunit ribosomal RNA
Source: RNAcentral